Molecule: transfer RNA, 89 nt
Filed under: Blumeria hordei DH14
Lineage: Eukaryota; Fungi; Ascomycota; Leotiomycetes; Helotiales; Erysiphaceae
Also listed under: 1 other name
Description: tRNA-Ser for anticodon CGA
Rfam family: tRNA
About the family: Transfer RNA (tRNA) molecules are approximately 80 nucleotides in length. Their secondary structure includes four short double-helical elements and three loops (D, anti-codon, and T loops). Further hydrogen bonds mediate the characteristic L-shaped molecular structure. tRNAs have two regions of fundamental functional importance: the anti-codon, which is responsible for specific mRNA codon recognition, and the 3' end, to which the tRNAs corresponding amino acid is attached (by aminoacyl-tRNA synthetases). tRNAs cope with the degeneracy of the genetic code in two manners: having more than one tRNA (with a specific anti-codon) for a particular amino acid; and 'wobble' base-pairing, i.e. permitting non-standard base-pairing at the 3rd anti-codon position.
Source: Rfam by way of RNAcentral
GUCGAGUUGCCAGAGUGGUUAAUGGGUGUGACUCGAAUGGCUGAUAUCACAUGGCUUCGGCCGCGCAGGUUCAAAUCCUGCAUUCGACG